RNAcentral lists this ribosomal RNA (253 nucleotides) under uncultured bacterium. RNAcentral describes it as "partial 16S ribosomal RNA". It matches the Rfam family "Bacterial small subunit ribosomal RNA", at positions 524 to 776 of the family's 1533-position model. The record is from RNAcentral.
GACAGAGGGUGCAAACGUUGUUCGGAUUUACUGGGCGUAAAGCGCGUGUAGGCGGCUUUGCAAGUCGGAUGUGAAAUCCCACGGCUCAACCGUGGAAGUGCAUCCGAAACUGCAUCGCUGGAGUCUCGGAGAGGAAGGUGGAAUGCUUGGUGUAGAGGUGAAAUUCGUAGAUAUCAAGCAGAACACCUGCGGCGAAGGCGGCCUUCUGGACGAUGACUGACGCUGAGGCGCGAAAGCUAGGGGAGCAAACAGG